CCUCCCUCUCCCGGGUUCACAAGAUUCUCCUGCCUCAGCCUCCUGAGUAGCUGGGAUUACAGGCACCCACCAAGAUGCCCGGCUAAUUUUUAGUAGAGACAGGGUUUCACCGUGUUGACCAGGCUGGUCUCAAACUCCUGACCUCAUGUGAUCUGCCCGCCUCGGCCUCCCAAAGUGCUGGGAUUACAGGUGUGAGCCACUGCGCCCGGCCAAGAUGUGGUGUUUCUAAUGGCAGGCACUUGAACCCAAUUGAACCCUGAGAGCCCCUCUGAGAGGGCUGUGUGUGUUGGGAAUGAGAGAGUUACGAGUUUUUCAGUGCCUUCUCUAGCUUUCUAGAAGUUGUUAUGAGUGGACCUGACUACCUAGAGAGAGUAAUACAGAAGCUCCAUGCCGAUCACAGCUACCUCAUUACCAAGUUCCUCCAAGAUGGCCGCCCCUGAGGAGAAUCAUCAACUGGGCUUUACGGAAGAGAGAAAUCCAAACGACCAUCAGCAACAAAUGAAAGACUGAAGUUGAAAGUUUCAAGAUUGUCAAGAAUGACAAGUUGGACUUGGUCUAGUUACUUCCACAGCAGCAGGAGGAACAUGUGUGUGACUCAGGAUAACUGGGGAAGCCUUGGCUAGGCUUUCCUCAUGUCAACCUACCACUCAAAGGGAGAAAACCUCCUGAUCAGAGGAGCCCAGAACCCAGGAAAUCCAUAAUUUUUGAAUGCUGGCCGAGGUCUGUGACCUCUGACUGAAUGGUUUCCAAGCUCUGAAUUCCUAGGUAUAACACUUGCUGAAGAAAGGAAAAGCUCUCUGAUUUAGGUGUAAGCAAAACAAUCUAAACAGUAGGAUAAAAUCGUGUUGGAGUGGAGUUCUGUGUGAGCGCUGUCUUUGAACCAAAUCAGUUCCACAACUGACCCU
Molecule: long non-coding RNA, 905 nt
Filed under: Pongo abelii (Sumatran orangutan)
Lineage: Eukaryota; Metazoa; Chordata; Mammalia; Primates; Hominidae
Description: lincRNA
Source: RNAcentral